CUGAUGCCUCUUGGAUUUGGGCACGUGUGGGAGGAAGGUUGGGGCUUUUAGAGAAACGUGAAGGGGGAUGAGCGAGUUGGGCAGCAGCUCUAUUCCAGACUGCAGGGCAGGAGAACGGGAAGCUGAGCCAGUGGCAAGGACCAAGGGGGACUGCAAGGGGGAAAUUCAGUGUUCCCAAGGAGGGAAGGACCUCCUUCCAGUGCCAAAGGACCCUUGGUGGUGGGCAGGCAGGGCCGGUAGAGUGCGAUUCAGCCCCAGAGAGGCCUCCAGGCAUUUCAGAGCCCUCAGCAGCCAGGGCCUGGCCGGGGGCCCAGCAUCCUGUGUUUGGGGGGUGGGGGCACCAGGUUGAAUAGAAGUCUGUCCAGACUGGUAAACAUCAAGCGGCCCUCCUGCGGGAGCUUUCAGAAUGAGGUAUUUAACCCUCACCCUGCAGGGAACAAGCCCAGCUGAUUCUAAAUCGGGGAGAGAAAACCGAAGGGAAGAGACAGGAGUCUGGCCCAAGCUGGUCGGUGGUCUGGCCAAGGCUCCCAAGCGAACCUGAAGAAGCGUCCAGAUGUGCCAGAGGCAGGAAUACUCAGAACCGGGAGGCGGGCGCUAUUACGGGCCCCAGUUUGCA
Molecule: long non-coding RNA, 616 nt
Filed under: Homo sapiens (human)
Lineage: Eukaryota; Metazoa; Chordata; Mammalia; Primates; Hominidae
Description: HSALNT0005459
Source: RNAcentral